Papio anubis (olive baboon) is the source of this 148-nucleotide unclassified non-coding RNA. It matches the Rfam family "Metazoan signal recognition particle RNA". From Rfam's summary of the family: The signal recognition particle (SRP) is a universally conserved ribonucleoprotein. It is involved in the co-translational targeting of proteins to membranes. The record is from Ensembl. NCBI's taxonomy places the organism in Eukaryota, Metazoa, Chordata, Mammalia, Primates, Cercopithecidae.
GCUGGGUGUGGUGGUGCACACCUGUAGUCCCAGCUACUUGGGAGGCUGAGGCAGGAGAAUCGCUUGAACCCAGGAGGCAGAGGUUGCAGUGAGCCGAGAUCACGCCACUGCACUUCAGCCUGGGCAACAGAGCGAGACUCCGUCUCAA